RNAcentral lists this long non-coding RNA (6812 nucleotides) under Homo sapiens (human). RNAcentral describes it as "long independently transcribed non-coding RNA 2700, transcript variant 10 (LINC02700)". Lineage: Eukaryota; Metazoa; Chordata; Mammalia; Primates; Hominidae. The record is from RNAcentral.
GUGAGACUGUGAAUUCUUCAAAAGCAGGUACUGUGUUUAAUGAAGUGUGCCCAGGACUUUGCUCAGUGACUGGAUGACACAGUAGGAGUAACAAGAAAGUUCACAUGGGUGAACCGUGGUAGGUGGACAUCGUCUCUCUCACCUCUUCCCAAAUCAAGGAUGAAGUACAUCUUCAUAAAUCCUCAUGUGAAUUAUUUUGCUACCUCUAGAAGCAUUUUCUAAAACAAGGUGCAGCAAUCAGUUGAGUGAAUUUGUCACCAGAGCUUAUGUUUUCUGAAAGAACCCUAUCCUCAGGCAGUUGUUCCUAAGAGGUCAGGCUGCAUUUGUAUCCUGGGUCCACAAGACAUCGUUUCCUUAAAACCAAUCCCCCUGAUUUUGCUAAGAUGAAGAAACUGAGGUCCAGAGAAGUUAAACGACCUUCCUAAGAUUACACAGCUUAGUAAGUGGCAGAACCACAGCUGGAAGCCAGGUCCUUCCUCACGCAAGUCCUGGCUCAUUCAUUCCUCUUCCAAAGACUUGCUGAGCACCUUCUAGGUGCCAGAUGCGGUGCUGGCUCCUGGGGACAUGGGAGUGAACAGGCCAGGCGUGGCCCUGAACCAUCAAAUAGACAACCACAGAAAUAACAACAACAAAGACAAAACCGGGCCCUUCCACACAGUAGCUGGAACACAAAGGAAGAUCAGCCAAGCCUCAACAUAAUCUCAUAAAAAUUCUUCAAAUAUCCCAUUGUUAUGGAUUCAUACAUCAGGAAAGCAGAUGCCAAGAACCUGAACACCUUCUACUGGUAACAUAUAUUUUGGCGAGCCAGCCUGGAGACAAGACCACUAUGGGCAACUUCCUGUCUAUUCUACCUGGUGUCACUGUGGACAACUUCCUAUCUAUUCCACCCGAUUCACCGCUUGGCUACAUCCUCCACCAUUGGGAUGAAUUUGACCCUAACAAUCUAAAGAAAAGGCAUAUGAUUUUUUACUGCAAUAUUGUUUGACACAAUUAUGAGCUGCCCAAUCCGGAACAAUGGGCAGUCAAUGGUAGCCUUAAUUAUGAUACCAUCCUGUAUCUAGACCUAUUUUACAAGAGGCAGGGCAAAUGGUCAGAAGUCCCACAUAUACAGGCCUACAUGACCCUAUACGAAGACCUAAGAAUCUAGGAAACUCCCAGAACCCAUCCCCCGAAGGAAAGUUCUGGGGCAGAACUAGAUAUUAUAGAUGAACCCCCUUUUACAAGGGAUACCUGUCUCUCAGAGUGAGCAGUGACUGUCCCCAUAUAACCCCUCACCAAGUGCUCCUGAGGCUGAAACCCAGGGGCAAACAUGGGGAACCCUACUAAGUCCCCCUCACACUUGGAGGGGAACACUGUAUUCAACUCUCUAUCCAGCCCUGCUACUCUCAGAGAAAUAGCAGGGGCUGAGGGGCCAAUCCUAGUGUGGGUCCCCUUCUCUAUGAUUGAUAUACAACAAUGUAAGGAAAAGCUAGGAAGCUAUUCUGAGGAUUCCGGGAAGUUUGCAGAUGGGUUCCAAACUUUGACCUUAGCCUUUGAUCUCUCAUGGAGAGACGUUCAAUUCACUCUAGCAACCUGUUGCACCUCCUCGGAAAAGGAACGAAUCUUUGAGGCUGCCCUCCGAGAAGUGGACGAAUUAUUCACCCAAAACCGUAAAGGCAGUCACCCAGGCCCAGCCACAGUUCCCACUACGCAUCCUAAUUGAGACCAAGACACCCCCGCAGGAAGGAACAACUGGGCUAAAUUUCUUGAGGCUCUUGGAGGAAUGAGAAAGGGAAUAACUAAGGCAGUAAAUUAUGAUAAAGUAAGGCAGAUUACACAAGGCAGGGAGGAAAACCCAGCUGUGUUUUACGGCAGGCUGCGGGAAGCCUUUAAAAAAUAUAUACUAAUUUGGUCCCUUCCUCUCCUGAAGGCAAGUUAUUAAUGGCACAACGUUUCAUUAGCCAAUCCACACCAGACAUUAGACGUAAGCUCCAAAAGCUACACAUGGGGCCACAAACUAACCAAAAUCAGCUUCUUGGUACUGCCUUCAUGGUGUAUAACAAUCGUGACCUGGAGGAAGGAGAAGGGAAACAGAGUAAAGAAAAACGGCAAGCCAAAAUUAUGUUAGCCAUCACUGGUGAUGCCCUAAAUGCACAAAGAUUGUCCAAGGGAAACUCAAAGGGCCAUAAGGAUAAUGCCAGCAAAGGCUCUUGCUUCAAAUGCAAUAAAAGUGCGAUUGGGCACAGGAAUCCACUAAGCCCCCGCCAGUCCCCUGCCGUCAAUGUAAAAGCACCAGUUGUGGCUCCUGGCCCUGGAGAAUUGACUGUCCCUGCUCCCACCAAGGGGCUCAGUCAGUCAAAACUCUGGCAGUGCACAAGGAGGAAUCAGAUGAAGACUGAAGGGGCCUGGGGCCUUCCUCACUGCCCCGUCUAGGAACAUUGUAAUUACUACUGAGGAACCCUGGGUAACUCUGGACAUCAUGGCCACCCAAAUUCAGUUUUUAUGUGAUACCAAGGUGAAUUAUUCUGUACAACUGCUUAUGCAGGAAAACUUUCCUCCCGGUCCAUGAGUGAUAUUGGAUGGAAGGGAAGCCACAAACAAGAUUCUUACUCCUCCUUUGGUUUGUCAAUUUGAGAAACAAAUCUUCCAACAGGAAUUUUUAGUAGUACCAAGCUGCCCAAUUCCCCUGUGGGAAAGAGAUAUUAUGGUGAAAAUAGUGACACUACUGCAAUUUAAGCAAUAUUAGCAGGUGAAACUGCUAAUAGUAAGAAAUAAGGCAAUGUCCCAGACCAUGUCAAUAAACAGGUUAACCCACUGGCAUGGUAUACUGGAAACCCAGGGAAGGCUAAAACAGCAGUGCCAGUCAAAAUACAGCUUAAAGACCCCAGCCAUUUUCCCAAUGGAAAACAAUACCCAGUUGAACAGGAAGCAAGCAAAGGUCUAGCUCCCAUAGUUGAGAUAUUACUUACCCAUGGACUCUUAAAACCCUGCAAUUCUCCCUGCAAUACCCCCAUCUUACCUGUUCUCAAGCCUGGGGGGAAUACCAGCUAGUACAGAACCUCAGAAUAAUGAAUGAGGCUGUUAUCCCCGUCCACCCAUUGGUGGCAGAUCCAUAUGCCCUCCUGGCUCAGGUGCCAGGGCAUGCAAAAUGGUUCUCAGUCCUAGACCUUUCUUCUCCAUUCCUCUGGCCCCGAGCCCCCCAGUACCUUUUUGCUUUCGAAUGGGAAAAUCCUAAUACCAGAUAAAAACAAUACACUUGGACAGUGCUUCCUCAGGGCUUUCGGGAUAGCCCCCACUUCUUUGCCUGAGCAUUAGAGCGGGAUCUGAGGGAUUUCAAGUUAGAAAAUGGAGGUAUUCUUCAGUAUGGGGAUGACCUUGUGUGUAGCCCAACCUAGGAGGUUUCUGACCAAAAUACUAUAAAAACUUUGAAUUUCCUGGCAGACAGAGGAUACAAAGUGUCCAAAAAGAAGGCUCAGAUUACCCUCCAAUGGGUCCACUAUUUAGGAUAUGUCUUAACACCCGGAACCCGGCAAAUAUCCCCAGAAGGAGUGCAAGCUAUAUGUGGUUUGGCCGCGUGCACCACCCCCAGCCCCCACCCUGACCCACCUCCAAGCAGCAGCUUUGUUCCUUUUUGGGGAUGGCCGGGCUUUGGAGAAUAUGAGUACCAAAUUUUGGGCUCAUAGCAAAGCCCCUAUAUGAAGCAACAAGGGGGCCUGAAAAUGAGCUAAUGGAAUGGACCCCGGAAAUGAGGAAAGCCUUUGCCAAGUUAAAACAGGUUCUCACCCAGGCUCCUGCUCUUGGUAUCCCAGACCUAAUUAAGGCCUUCUCCUUGUAUGUAGCAGAGAAGAGGGGCAUAGCUGUGGGAGUGCUAGCCCAGAAAUUAGGAUCAGAACCCAGACCAACCGCCUACUUCUCAAAAAAGUUGGACGGAGUGGCCUCAGGAUGGCCAAGUUGCCUGCGGGCAAUAGCAGCCACUGCUGUUAGUGGAGGAAGCCACUAAAAUCACCCUAGGGCAACCACUGGAAGUUCUAACGCUCCAUCAGGUAAAGUUAGUCUUAGAAAUAAAGGGACACAUCUGGAUGACAGGGGAAAUGUUAACUAAAUACCAGCCCAUGCUCCUAGACAAUCCAGAUAUAACUCUUAAAACCUGCAACACUUUAAAUCCAGCUUCAUUGCUGCCCACAGGCCCAAUAAUUGAUCAUUCCUGUGAGCAGGUCAUUGCACAUACAUAUGUUAGCCAGCCUGAUUUAAAAGAUGAGGCUCUCCCAGAUUCUGAAGCUGACCGGCUCACAGACGGCAGUAGUUCUUUGUCGAAUGGGGAGCACAGAGCUGGAUAUGCAGCAGUAAAUCAUGACACAAUUAUUGAAGCCCAGCCAGUGCCCCCUGGCACAUCAGCACAAAAGGCUAAAAUCAUUGAUCUUACUCAAGCAUUAAUGUUGGGACAAGGGAAAAAACUUAACAUCUAUACAGAUUCUAAAUAUGCAUUCCUUGUGGUUCAUGCUCAUACCGCCAUCAGGAAAGAAAGGGGAUUACUUACUAGCAAGCACUCCCCUAUAGAGCAUGGACCUGAAAUUCUGCAGCUAUUGAAGGCAAUACACCUGCCAAAGGCCAUAGCUAUCAUUCAUUGUAGGGGGCAUCAAAGGGACUUAACCCCUAUAGCACAAGGGAAUGGAAAGGCUGACGGAAGCCAAAGCAAAAGCCCUCAGCGUGCAAUCCCAACAGAUCCUAGCACUGCUUCCUUUCUACAAUUCCCCAGUAGAACCCAAAUACACACCACAGGAAGAACAGCUAAUAAAAAAAGCAAGGGAGACAAAAACAAGGAUCCUGGUGGCAUAUGGAGCCAAAAAUAUAUCUCCCUCAGGCAGCCCAGUGGAGAGUUAUAAAAGCCCUGCAUGACUCUUUCCAUGUGGGGAGGGAUGCGGCUCUGGCCAUGGUAAACAAGUUCUUUACUGGGUUUAACUCAGCUUCAAUGGCUAAGCAGGUCUGUCAAGCCUGCUCACUGUGUGCAUUUAACAAUCCAGGCAUCAAAAUGCCCCCUCUAAUAAAACCAGUCCAAAGGAGGGGAACUUAUCCAGGGGAAGACUGGCAGUUAGACGUCAUCCAUAUGCCAGCUUGCAGAGGAUACAAGCUUUUGUUAAUACUAAUAGAUACUUUUAGGUUGGGUCAAAGGUUACCCCAGAAAAGGCUAAUGAGGUUCUAAGGUCCUCUUAAAAGAAAUAAUUCCCCAGUUUGGGUUACCUCAGGGUCUCCAAAGUGAUAAUGGCUAAUCCUUUAUCUCCCAAAUAACUCAAGGGGUUGCUAAGGCUCUUGGAAUAAAAUACUAUUUACAUUCAGCCUGGAGGCCCCAAUCCUCUGGAAAAGUGGAAAGGGUUAACCAAACUCUAAAAUAAGCACUAGCUAAACUAUGUCAGGAAACAUCAGAAACUUGGGUUAGCUUAUUGCUCACAGCCCUUUUAAGAAUUUGUAAUACCCCUAGCUCAAAAAUUAACAGAAGCCCAUAUAAAAUGUUAUACAGAAGGCCAUUCUUAACUAAUGAUUUAAUUAUUGACCCAGAAAGAGUUGGUGUAAUUAAAUACCUAGUCAACCCAGAACAAUUCCAGCGGGUUUACAAGAGUUUGGAAUUCAAAGGCUCCUCACACUUGGAACUAACCAGCAACCCAAAAUCAGGCCAGGAGAUAGGGUACUUGUUAAAACAUGGAAUGAGGGAUCACCUGCCCAACAAUUACAACCCCAAUAGAAGGGACUUUUUUCAGUAAUACUGGCCACGUCUUCUGUGGUCAAAGUACUAGUAUUAGAUAGCUGGAUACAUCUUUCAAGGAUCAAACCAUCAAUACCAGAAGCUCCAGACCAGGAACCUGAAGUUCCCAUCAGCCAGUACACCUGUGAACCAGUGGAGGACCUGAAGUACCUGUUUAAAAGAUAGCCAAAAGAUAAGUAAAUGCCUACCAACUUUCUUUGGUGUCUUUGUUGCAUAGUUACUGUGGGCUGGAAAAUAGUAGCCAUUUUUAUCUUUGCAGUUUAAUUGCCUUCUUCCAAAUAGAUAAAAAUCACUUCCUUUGUAAUAAUUAAACAGAAUUUAAAAAAUACAUUUCUAUGACAAAUAUUCCUGAUGGCAUAAGUAUCCACCCCAAGGUUCCCAUUAAAUCUUUUAACCUAAAGUAUUUCCUCUCACCUAGAGAUCAUCGAGCUGUGUGACAAGGGUGCCAGCCACUCCAGGUGAAGACACCACCCCAGGCCAUCAAGGAUCUUCCCUACCUUCACUAAACAGAGCAGGGUGAAAGUUGUGUGAUCCCCAAUAGGUAGGGACUACACCCCAAGUCAGCAGGAAGCAGUUACAGAAGAAAGACCAUUGGUCCCUCUGCUUCCCAUAAAGAUUUAUGGGGAUCACAGCUUUCACGGGGGAGAUGAGGCAAGAGAAUAGGGCAUGCAGGCAGGGUACUUGAGGCCAAUCCACGCUGACUUCCUAGAACUGAAUUAAAUGAAAGCUCCUCAGCAAUGACAGGAAUGUGAAUGGCUUUGUAACUUCUUCCUCUCCAUUAAUGCUAUUUCCACUUUGUAACUUCACUUUCAUCCUCUCCAUUUACAUAGAUCACACACCAAGUAACAUCCUCUCCAUUUACAGUAGGGCGCAUUCCGAGUCAAUGACUCUGACUGCACUUCGUUCUCCUCAUUUACAUAGAACAUUCGCCAAGUAACCAAUGGGAAACCUCUAGAGUAUUGAAACUCCAGAAAAUUCCGUAAGUGGGGCUCUUGAGCGUCUACACUCGGGUCGCUCCCACACUGUGGCGUGUACUUUUAUUCUCAAUAAAUUCCCGCUUUUGCUUUCCUCGUUC